RNAcentral lists this ribosomal RNA (406 nucleotides) under uncultured bacterium. Its description in RNAcentral is "bacterial SSU rRNA". It matches the Rfam family "Bacterial small subunit ribosomal RNA", at positions 917 to 1322 of the family's 1533-position model. The record is from RNAcentral.
GGGCCCGCACAAGCGGUGGAGCAUGUGGUUUAAUUCGAUGCAACGCGAAGAACCUUACCUACUCUUGACAUCCAGAGAACUUAGCAGAGAUGCUUUGGUGCCUUCGGGAACUCUGAGACAGGUGCUGCAUGGCUGUCGUCAGCUCGUGUUGUGAAAUGUUGGGUUAAGUCCCGCAACGAGCGCAACCCUUAUCCUUGUUUGCCAGCGAGUAAUGUCGGGAACUCCAGGGAGACUGCCGGUGAUAAACCGGAGGAAGGUGGGGACGACGUCAAGUCAUCAUGGCCCUUACGAGUAGGGCUACACACGUGCUACAAUGGCGCAUACAGAGGGCAGCCAACUUGCAAAAGUGAGCGAAUCCCAAAAAGUGCGUCGUAGUCCGGAUUGGAGUCUGCAACUCGACUCCAUG